Molecule: ribosomal RNA, 253 nt
Filed under: uncultured bacterium
Lineage: Bacteria
Description: partial 16S ribosomal RNA
Rfam family: Bacterial small subunit ribosomal RNA
Source: RNAcentral
UACGUACUGUGCGAACGUUAUUCGGAAUCACUGGGCUUAAAGGGUGCGUAGGCGGCGAUUCAAGUCAGGUGUGAAAUGCCUGAGCUCAACUGAGGCAUUGCGCUUGAAACUGAAUUGCUAGAGUAUCCCAGGGGUGUGCGGAACUGCCAGUGGAACGGUGAAAUGUGUUGAUAUUGGCAGGAACACCGGAGGCGAAAGCGGCACACUGGGGGACAACUGACGCUGAGGCACGAAAGCCAAGGGAGCGAACGGA